GGGAAUGUGGCUUAGUGGUAAAGUGCUUGCCUAGUAUGCAUGAAGCCCUGGGUUCGAUUCCUCAGUACCA
RNAcentral lists this transfer RNA (70 nucleotides) under Dipodomys ordii (Ord's kangaroo rat). It matches the Rfam family "tRNA". From Rfam's summary of the family: Transfer RNA (tRNA) molecules are approximately 80 nucleotides in length. Lineage: Eukaryota; Metazoa; Chordata; Mammalia; Rodentia; Heteromyidae. The record is from Rfam by way of RNAcentral.